Long non-coding RNA from Zea mays, 3780 nucleotides. RefSeq lists it as uncharacterized. The transcript has 6 exons. The record is from RefSeq and is a predicted model, not a curated record. Lineage: Eukaryota; Viridiplantae; Streptophyta; Magnoliopsida; Poales; Poaceae.
UCCACCAGGCACCAUGCCCCCGCCUGCCCCCGCUCGGCGCGAUGCUCGCCCCUGCGCUUGCCUCGCCCCCGCGACGCACGCCACGAUGCCCCCGGCCGCUCGUGAUGCCCGCCCCUGCGUCCGCCCUAUCCCCGCGACGCACGCCGCGGUUCCCCCGCCCUCUCAUGAUGUCCCGCCAUCGCCGGACGCGGGCGUCCGCAUCCUCCGCUUACCCAGCGUGCUUGCCUAGAUCUAUGUCAACAAAACCCACCUGCCUUGCUUGCGACGACCGAACCUCCCGCCUCACCCGGACGCGGGCGUCCGCAUCCUUCGCUCUCGCCCCGUGCGAUGGCUUCGCACCAGCCGCCGCCCAACCUUCGCUCUCGCCCCGUGCGAUGGCUUCACACCAGCCGCCGCCCAACCUUCGCUCUCGCCCCACCUCCCUCGGACACGGUGGUGAGGCGGGAUUGGCGUACGCGGGAGCAGUAGGCGAGAGAGAGGGAAAGGUGUGUCGUGGAGGAGGACAUGGAGGUCACCGAAUAGGAAGAAAGGGGAGUCGUGGACUCUGAUGUGGAGGGUUUCAACAUUGCUUUAGCAGACCUAGAUCCAGUUCGAGGUACCAAGCCUAUGAGCUGAUCCAUGCCAUAUAGGCCAUGCUUGGUGCCGCUGGCGCUGUCAUCCCAGAGGCCUGCAACAAGUUUGGCGCUAACUGCGACCCUUAGGCCGUUUCGUUCAAGACUGAUACUCUACUCCUGGAUGACAAUACUAAACUACUUCGGCAACAACAUUCCCAUCAACGGAUCUAUGUCUGGCUGUCAUCGCGAAGAUCAUCCUCGUCAUCGGUGCCCCAGUGGGCCCUUUAACAUCCUAGGCCUGGCCAACGACCCCUACCAAACUGCCAUCCUCAAGGUGAAGGAGAUCAAGAACGGCCGACUGACCAUGUUCUCCAUGUUCGCCUUCUUCAUCUAAGCCUAUGUCACCGACGAAGGCCCCCGUGUAGAACCUCGCCAAGCAGAAGGUUCUUCUUGAGGGUGUUGAGACGUACAACAAGUUGCAAAACGACCAUAUUACAGCAAAAGAACGACUUUAGUAAGUUUGAUCCAUUUAUAUAUUAUGAGUUAGCUUCGAUCGACAAAAUUGUGUGCUUAUAUUUGCAGGUAAGAGCAUGGUACUAAUAUGGCAUGUUGUGUUUAGUGGAAACCUCCCUAUCUUGAGGUUUCUUCUUGAUCAUGGUGAUGAUCUCCAUGAAGAAGGCAGCCUGGAAGGUCAUGACAGGUUCACCGUUCUACAUAUAGCUACAGAGAAAGAUAUAAUGUAGACUCAUAUUUUCUAUUAUUUAUGUUGCUUAUUCUGUUAAUCAAUAAACUGCAUGCAAUUUUUUGUUUAUAACUAUUUUUAGAAAAAAACAUACUUCAUGUGCAAAACAUUGCCUGGCGAAUUUUCAUGCUUUACUUGUAUAUUUGUGGAUCAUACUAUGUUCUUGUAACUACAGUUUAAUGUCAGUGGAACACAAACACAUGAAGUUGUUCUGAUAACGAUAAUCCUUCUUGAAUAAUUCCUAUAUGUAAGUUAGCAUAGCAUGUGUGUGGGUGUUUGUUUUCUUAGUAGUGGCAAUGGUUUAUUCUUUUUUUUGCCAUCCUGUUAGUAUUUUGUAGUUCAUUAUCAAGUAUCAACCUAUCUCUUUGCUUUGUCUAAUCCGAGAUCAAGGACUUCCUUCUGACCGUGAGGAGGAAGGAUGCCCGAUCAGUGAAGGUCAAGAGGAUCAAGGAUGUUGUUAAAUUCAAGUUACCCAAAUGGUGCAUUGCCUGAUAUCAUAAUUGGACAUAAGUUUCAGAGAUAUCGUCUAAGUCUUCUGGUUGGUUUAAACUGUCACUGGCAUAAGGCCAUAACACCUCUGUUGUCUGAAUGUUUAUAUUUCAUUCACCUAUAUACUAUUUAUUGACUCAAUCAUUGUAGCAAAAAAAAUUAAUUGCAUUGGCAAAUAUGAUUUUCUUAUAUUCUCUAGCAGAUGUUUAAGGUAUGUAAACCUAAACUUUUAAAAGAUGCUAACGAGAGCAUAUAGCGAUAAAUAGUGCUUUUGUACCUCAAUGUAUCUUUAUUACAUUUUGGUUAGCUCCGUAGCAAAGCACGGGCAUAUACCUAGUUCUUGAUAUAUGUCAUGAUUUCUGGCGAUAGUGUCUUUCAGUAGUAGCAGCUUGUGUAGCACAAUUCUGUAGAGAAUUCUUUCUUCGGUGUUUAGACCUAAUCACCUAACAACUGCCUGGAUGCAAAUUUUUUAUGGAAUUUGUAAUGGUGCCAUAUUGCUAAUAGGAUGGGUGACCGUUCUAGGUUUACAACAGUACAGCACUGAAUUCAUCAUCACACACAACAUAAAGCUAGCAUUGUUAUGGUUUACAUGGUCAUUAAUUUUGUACGUAAUACACCUUGAUUUUGAAUUUGGAUAUUUCAACAAAUGAUUAUUGGUUGUAUGUUUAUAUAGCAUAGUAGUUAAAAACUUGUCAGCAUUACCUGCAUAUGGAACAUUGUAAUUGCUGUAAGGCUACUUUGGCCAGUUAAAGUUCCUCUAGCUAGCAUCUCGCUCUAUUUUUCUUCUGUUUCUAAAAGUUAUCAGGAGCUAUAGAGCAUAAAGAGCCUGGACAGUUAGGGGCGUGAUUGGUAGCCUGAAUACAGGUUGGUCUUUGAUCUGGGUAACUACUUUGUGGCAUGCUCUGUAAGUUAAAACUACUUUAGUCUUGUAGGCUGUAAAAGUUAUUAAGAAGCCCACAGAGCACUUACCCAUAAAGCGGGCACCACUUAGGGCGCGGUUCACUGCACCAAAACCCAAUUUUCCAGGUCUUAUGGGUAAGAUCGGCGAAUGGAAUGCUAUUGUCAUUUUCAAAGGAUGAAUUGAGCACUACUCAGCCUUCUAUUGUAAGUCUACUGGUUCUUGUUCUCUGUGGUUAUUCCUACAUCACAUGAUGGUUGUGAAUUGGUAAUUUUCGUAUGGAAUUUGUACUCGGUGUUCCCUUUUUCACUUGAGCAAUUCCAGGGGAAAAAAUAUAGGAAAACAAUGUCAUAUAGUGGGUAAAAGGUUGUUGUGAGUGUGUGUUGAGGGUGAAUGGUGGGGGUGGGGGGCAGCGCACACAAUGUCAGAGGGAGUGUAAAAGGUUUUGGGUAUCAUCUUUGUUCUGUAUCACGUAGCUUAGAGGCUUGGGUGCCUACUCAAAUGUGUGGGGGAAAAAAUCAUGGUCUCCAGUUUGUGUGGGAGGUAUCUCUGCCUGAUCGUAGGAAGAAUAGGUGGAUAAUGUUUUAUUUACUCGUGUAAGGAGCGGUUGAAGGAUGUGCAAGGGAGGGUCGAGGUGCUGUCUGUCUCAGCGCACACAGAACAUCUCUACUGAAAGCCAGCGCAAGCAGCAUAGAAGGUCACAAAAAGAGUGCAAAAGAUAGACCCACGAGGUCAUCUUUGAAAGAACAAAGGACGUGGUGGAGUGAAGAACAAUGAGCUCGAAUCAGUAGUAUCUAUCUAUAGCAGGCCUUUGGCGGCAGCUGCAGGUCGGCGGCGUUGCUCUCCAGCAUCUCAAGGACUUGGCCCAUGGACGGCCGACUGUCCGGUUUGGACUGUAUGCACCACAGUCCAACUACGACCAUCUUCCUCACGAGCAGCACUUCCGUGGCGUCGUCGUCGUCACCGCGGAUCUCGCCGUUGCUCGUGGUUGUGGGGCGACAGAACUGGUCCAAGUUUUCAUACAGCCAUUGCGGAAAAUACCUGCUGCUGCUGCUGUUGCCGCCGUCGUCUGUAGCACUGACAUGGACAUUCUUCCU